Oreochromis niloticus (Nile tilapia) is the source of this 1265-nucleotide long non-coding RNA. RefSeq lists it as uncharacterized. The record is from RefSeq and is a predicted model, not a curated record. Lineage: Eukaryota; Metazoa; Chordata; Actinopteri; Cichliformes; Cichlidae. The transcript has 5 exons.
CACAGCAGGAGGGUUGCUGCCUAGCUGGAGCCUUCAUGUGCAUGUUCUCCAUGAGUCAUUAUUUGUUUUCAACAGGUGGGUCGGUUAUUUCUCACAGUCCAGCGCACCCAUGGAAGGUUAACUGAGGAUUCCAAGCAGGCUGUAGCUGUGGAAGAAGGUGUGGAUGUGGGUGUAAAUGGUUGUUCCAGCCUCUGUUUUAACUCAACUGUAACUGGUGCUCCUGGAACACAGAUGUAACCUCUCUCCUAACAGGUGGAGUGUCACCGUCUUGGAGGAGUGGAGCUGGGAGUGAAAUACUCAGAAAUCACGGGAAAUGCUGCACUGACCUGUUUUUUAAAUCACAACCUUGAGAAUUUCCCAACCGCGGCAUCCUAAAUCUGGAAUAUUUAUCUUCAAAACAUUUUUAGAAGACUGUUGUUCCAGAUUUGGAGGGGCUUCGCACAGCUGAGCUUGGAGCUUGCAGGCCUUCUUUCUGGAACACGGCAGCAGCACACAGGCUAUUUUGCCUGAGGCCUGACGUCAACGGGUCUUCAAGACAAAACACGUGUGAAAGAAGCACAUUUUAUCUGCAAGAUGUCAACCCGUCAUUGCGUGAAUGACAAUGAGUCAGUUCUGAGAAGAUCCCCAACACCACUGACUGAAAUGGAUCCACAAUCCAUGACACAGCCUCCGCUGUGUUUUACAGAUGGCUACAGACAUGCACUGUUGUACUUACCUCUUGACCUACUCUGUAUAUAUUGGCAACAGAUUUCCAGUCCAGUCCUUGUGUAAUUCGGCAUACAUCAGCAUUUUCUGUGUCAGGUCCCUGCUGGAGUUUCAUGUCCUUUCUUAAUGACAUAACUUCGCAUACUGUUCAUACUUUGAUUUAGGCUCGAAACAUCUUUUGUCCUGCGCUUGUCAAUUUUCGCUCAACACGCUGCACAUCAUGUUGAAAUAUGCCAAGUUUUCAACUAAUAUUGUUUUAGAAAUCACCUUGUUGGUGCAAGAAUACAAUUUUUAAGCCUGUCAAACUGUUUGCACCAAACUUUUUUAUAGAAACGGGAACAAUUCUCUGUUUUUGCAACAGUAUUUUAGUUACUUAUUUUUUGCUUGAAUAAUUCAUAGGUCAGUAUUAAUUGGCUGAAAAAAGCAGAACAAAAAAAAUAAAACCAUUCCUGUGAAAAUGUUUAGGUACGAGGACUGGACUGGACGGCUUUCAGAAAACCUGAAAAACUGUACUUCCAGACCCCUUUAAAAAAUUGAAAUAAAUAAAUAAAUAAAUACUG